UUUUUUAUUACAAUAUCUACAAUAAGUUUAUCAUAACAAUAAACAAAAGUAACAAUAAGUAUAUAAAUAUUUACUUCAAUUUAUAUUUACAUAGCUCCUUAUGAUGUAAAAGGUUCAGAUUCCUGUGCAUUUUUCUUUAUAUUAAUGGAAUGAUUGUUUGAUAAAUUCUUCCAAAUUUAAUUAUAGGUCCAAAAGUCUAAACAAAUUUCGCAACUCUCUAUAAUAAUUAGAACUCAUGUUACACGAAUACGGGGGGAAAUGUAUCAAUGAAAAGGAAUGACCCUUCUUUAAAAUUGUCUCAAUAUGUAUAAAAAUUACCUUACAGAAGAAUAUUGGGGUAUUUCUUUUGAAAAAUUAUAAUAUCUUAUGAAUUGCGUAAUAUUUUAUAGUACACAUUUAGAUCCAGUUACAAAAAGAAGCAUAGGUUUGAAUAGAAGUCAGAACUAUUUAAAUGAAUAAGUAUUAAUGUGUAAAUACAUAUUUUGCACACCUUUUUAGAUCUCUUAUGUUUGUAUGUGGUUGUCACGCAGGUGUUUUGUUGCGUCUUAACAUUGAUCCACUCACUAUAUAAUUUGAGAUAAAUUAAGUUGAACUAGUUUACUUUCUUUCCAGGAUCUUAACUGUUAGAUAAAGUCUGAAGAAUCAUUUAUUAUAAAACAAACCACACACAUUUGAUAGACAGUAAUCCAGCUACAAAAAAAUUGAAAUAGCAUAACAAUUAACAUAAACUAGUUGCUGAUUCUUGUGUACAGUGUUAUCACGUCUAUAUUCAUUCAGUCAAACAUGGAAUAAACAGGAUGAAGAUCAUAAUAAUAAAAAAAACUCAGUUAUUUGACAGUCGUAUCAAAUUCAACUAUAUUGUAAUAACGUUUGAGUAAAACUACAGAUAUACAAAUUCAAUUGUCAAAAAUAGGGGAACAGCAGUCAACACCAUUGUGUUUUAAUCUUAAUCACUACAAAAACAAACAGACAUAUCAACAAGAAAAUCAGAAUUGCAUUUAGACAAAGUGCAUUUAUAAGUUUAAGCGAAACACAAGAAUA
Molecule: long non-coding RNA, 1041 nt
Filed under: Mytilus galloprovincialis (Mediterranean mussel)
Lineage: Eukaryota; Metazoa; Mollusca; Bivalvia; Mytilida; Mytilidae
Source: RNAcentral